CGUGCAGCCAACUUCGUGUGAGUUGAAAAUAUGGCACGCUUCCAACUUCACGUAGUGCUGCCAACUAUUGAACAAAGUGGUCAGUCUCGUUUGGCGAAAAGUGAUGCAAAAGAGAAUUGACAGUCGGAAGAAACACGAGGGAAGGAAUUGUCAUUAUUUUUGAAAAUCAAAUAUUCGCCCACGAAAUAUGCAAACGUAAAGGAUAAACCCGUUAUGUUGAAUAAUCGAAUAAAAUACGACAAGUGUUCUUGUGUUUUCUCGCUGGGAAAGUACCGCACAUUAAACCGAAUUGCGGAGCCAAUAGCAUAAAGCGAAAAAAAGCGUGUGCAAUUGUGUUAGUGUGCGUGCAUUGGUUGCUUGGUGUGUUGGCCGAAAGCAAGUGAGACGAGAGUGUGAAGAUAAAAUAAAAUAAAGAACAAAAAGAACGGAAUAGAAACCAAACAAAGAAAAAAAAAGAAAAACACGUAAAACAUUUAAAUGCAAAACCAGAUUAAACUGCAAAUAAAGAAUAAAAGAGAAACAAUAUAUUUAAGAUACUAACGAAGAAAUGAUUAUGUAAAUAUUAUAUAUUAGAAUUGAGAGAGUAGAUUAAACAUUUGUCUAAGUUAAAUGGCGAACAUAAACAAAUUUUAUUUGAGCGCCAGUUUUAUUUAUAGCAUUACUAAGCUCCGGCUGCGGCUGCGGCAAUAAUCAAUUGCUAGUGUUAAUGUAACCCAAAACUAAUAAAAACAUGUUGGAUAUAUUA
Molecule: long non-coding RNA, 745 nt
Organism: Drosophila innubila
Lineage: Eukaryota; Metazoa; Arthropoda; Insecta; Diptera; Drosophilidae
Exons: 2
Source: RefSeq, a predicted model, not a curated record